CUAAGAGCAGAGAGGAUAACCAGUGAAGAUGGAUCAGAAGUGAGAAUCCUAGGUUUUUGGAGUAUUUUGGUACUGUCUUCCCUGGCUGGAGUUCUUUGUUACAGUUUCUCCUGGACCCUAACCUACUUUGACUCUUUUGAGCCAGGAAUGUUUCCCCCAACUCCUCUUUCCUCAGCCAGACUCAAGUGAGCCUAUUUUAUCUCUUAGCACACAUUAAAUCACCAAACCAUAUUCUCUGAAGCAAAAAUAAUAAUAAUAAUAAUAAUGUUCCACACUGCCAAUAGAGUACUGCGGAUAAGUUUGCAUAGCCCUUGCAGAACAUGCAAGAUGUUAAUAAUUUUAGCAAAAUAUGAAGGAAUAAAAAUUACGUGUUAUUCA
Carassius carassius (crucian carp) is the source of this 378-nucleotide long non-coding RNA. RefSeq lists it as uncharacterized. NCBI's taxonomy places the organism in Eukaryota, Metazoa, Chordata, Actinopteri, Cypriniformes, Cyprinidae. The record is from RefSeq and is a predicted model, not a curated record. The transcript has 2 exons.